GAUUAAAAUUUUUAUCUAUUUCUAUUAUUAAAAAUUAACGUAGUUGAAGAAAUAAUCAAACAGUUUCAUGUGGCAUGCCAUGUGUAUUUCAUGCUGAUGUAUAUGGACUGAUUUUUAAUAAAAGAAAUUGAUAAAAUUUUGAACA
Gossypium hirsutum (cotton) is the source of this 145-nucleotide non-coding RNA. Lineage: Eukaryota; Viridiplantae; Streptophyta; Magnoliopsida; Malvales; Malvaceae. The record is from Rfam.